RNAcentral lists this ribosomal RNA (253 nucleotides) under uncultured bacterium. Its description in RNAcentral is "partial 16S ribosomal RNA". It matches the Rfam family "Bacterial small subunit ribosomal RNA", at positions 524 to 776 of the family's 1533-position model. The record is from RNAcentral.
UACGGAGGGUGCAAGCGUUAUCCGGAUUCACUGGGUUUAAAGGGUGCGUAGGUGGGCAAGUAAGUCAGUGGUGAAAUCUCCGGGCUUAACUCGGAAACUGCCAUUGAUACUAUUUGUCUUGAAUACUGUGGAGGUCAGCGGAAUAUGUCAUGUAGCGGUGAAAUGCUUAGAUAUGACAUAGAACACCAAUUGCGAAGGCAGCUGGCUACACAAAUAUUGACGCUGAGGCACGAAAGCGUGGGGAUCAAACAGG